This 253-nucleotide ribosomal RNA is filed under the name uncultured bacterium. RNAcentral describes it as "partial 16S ribosomal RNA". It matches the Rfam family "Bacterial small subunit ribosomal RNA", at positions 524 to 776 of the family's 1533-position model. The record is from RNAcentral.
UACGAAGGUGGCAAGCGUUGUCCGGAUUUAUUGGGUUUAAAGGGUGCGUAGGCGGCUUUAUAAGUCAGUGCUGAAAUAUCCCGGCUUAACCGGGAGGGUGGCAUUGAUACUGCAGAGCUUGAGUGAAGUCGAGGUAGGCGGAAUUGACGGUGUAGCGGUGAAAUGCUUAGAUAUCGUCAAGAACACCGAUAGUGAAGACAGCUUACUAGACUUCAACUGACGCUGAGGCACGAAAGUGUGGGGAGCAAACAGG